CAAGUGACAAGAAAAGCAGUCAGAAAGCUCCAGGCUCAUUUCAGCAGCUUUUUAAUUUUUAUUUAAGCAAGGAACGUGUCCAGCCUAACCUUCUCCAAACCUCCUAUUCCAAGGGUUUGGUUUCUGUAGCCGCUUUCCUGCUGCUCAGGGGAGAUCCUCCAGAAAGAAGCCAGCAGUGUUCAGACAGCUCAGCCAUGCUCCCGCUGCUCAUCUCAGCAUUGCGAAUGAUGUUUGCCUUGAGAGUCGCCAGAGCCCAGCAGGUGACCCAGCCUGAGGUCCAUGUCUCUGUCCCUGAAGGAGCCCCGCUGGAGCUGAGGUGUAACUAUUCCUACGGUGGAACUCCCUAUCUCUUCUGGUAUGUCCAGUACCCCAGCCAAGGCCUCCAGCUGCUCCUCAGGUACUUUUCAGGGGCCAUCUUGGUUCAAGGCAUCAAAGGCUUUGAGGCUGAAUUUAAGAAGAGUGAAUCUUCCUUCAACCUGAGGAAGUCCUCAGCCCAUUGGAGUGACUCAGCCCAGUACUUCUGUGCUUUGGGUGACACAGUGCCUGGGGCUGCAGGGGGAGCGGCACACAAACCACUCAUGGUAGUGGAGUUUUCAGAGGCUCAUGAUCUCUUCCUGGGCAUUAUUAAAGAUCUCUUGGCAUAUGAUGGUCAAUGA
Non-coding RNA from Manis pentadactyla (Chinese pangolin), 656 nucleotides. The record is from the annotation of a RefSeq genome assembly. NCBI's taxonomy places the organism in Eukaryota, Metazoa, Chordata, Mammalia, Pholidota, Manidae.